GGGUCUUCGGGUCUUCCGGGUCCGGGGUCUUCGGGUCUUCCAGGUCCGGGGCGUUCGUGUCCGGGGUGUUCGGGUCCUCUAGGGCCGG
RNAcentral lists this transfer RNA (88 nucleotides) under Streptomyces hygroscopicus subsp. hygroscopicus. RNAcentral's name for it is "tRNA-Gly". The record is from RNAcentral. Lineage: Bacteria; Bacillati; Actinomycetota; Actinomycetes; Kitasatosporales; Streptomycetaceae.